AGAGUUUGAUCCUGGCUCAGGACGAACGCUGGCGGCGUGCUUAACACAUGCAAGUCGAACGGAGUAUAUGGGUGCUUGCACCUAAGAUACUUAGUGGCGGACGGGUGAGUAACGCGUGGGUAACCUGCCCUGUACACACGGAUAACAUACCGAAAGGUAUGCUAAUACGAGAUAAUAUACUUUUAUCGCAUGGUAGAAGUAUCAAAGCUUUUGCGGUACAGGAUGGACCCGCGUCUGAUUAGCUAGUUGGUAAGGUAACGGCUUACCAAGGCGACGAUCAGUAGCCGACCUGAGAGGGUGAUCGGCCACAUUGGAACUGAGACACGGUCCAAACUCCUACGGGAGGCAGCAGUGGGGAAUAUUGCACAAUGGGCGAAAGCCUGAUGCAGCAACGCCGCGUGAGCGAUGAAGGCCUUCGGGUCGUAAAGCUCUGUCCUCAAGGAAGAUAAUGACGGUACUUGAGGAGGAAGCCCCGGCUAACUACGUGCCAGCAGCCGCGGUAAUACGUAGGGGGCUAGCGUUAUCCGGAAUUAUUGGGCGUAAAGAGCUCGUAGGCGGUUUGUCGCGUCUGCUGUGAAAGCCCGGGGCUCAACCCCGGGUCUGCAGUGGGUACGGGCAGACUAGAGUGAUGUAGGGGAGACUGGAAUUCCUGGUGUAGCGGUGAAAUGCGCAGAUAUCAGGAGGAACACCGAUGGCGAAGGCAGGUCUCUGGGCAUUAACUGACGCUGAGGAGCGAAAGCAUGGGGAGCGAACAGGAUUAGAUACCCUGGUAGUCCAUGCCGUAAACGUUGGGCACUAGGUGUGGGGGACAUUCCACGUUUUCCGCGCCGUAGCUAACGCAUUAAGUGCCCCGCCUGGGGAGUACGGCCGCAAGGCUAAAACUCAAAGGAAUUGACGGGGGCCCGCACAAGCGGCGGAGCAUGCGGAUUAAUUCGAUGCAACGCGAAGAACCUUACCAAGGCUUGACAUGAACCGGAAAGGCCUGGAAACAGGUCCCCCACUUGUGGCCGGUUUACAGGUGGUGCAUGGUUGUCGUCAGCUCGUGUCGUGAGAUGUUGGGUUAAGUCCCGCAACGAGCGCAACCCUCGUUCUAUGUUGCCAGCGGGUUAUGCCGGGGACUCAUAGGAGACUGCCGGGGUCAACUCGGAGGAAGGUGGGGGCGACGUCAAAUCAUCAUGCCCCUUAUGUCUUGGGCUACACACGUACUACAAUGGCUGUUAACAGAGGGAAGCAAGACCGCGAGGUGGAGCAAAUCCCCAAAAACAGUCCCAGUUCAGAUUGCAGGCUGCAACUCGCCUGCAUGAAGGCGGAAUUGCUAGUAAUCGCGGAUCAGCAUGCCGCGGUGAAUACGUUCCCGGGCCUUGCACACACCGCCCGUCAAG
Molecule: ribosomal RNA, 1382 nt
Filed under: uncultured bacterium
Lineage: Bacteria
Description: bacterial SSU rRNA
Rfam family: Bacterial small subunit ribosomal RNA
Source: RNAcentral